RNAcentral lists this ribosomal RNA (494 nucleotides) under uncultured bacterium. Its description in RNAcentral is "partial 16S ribosomal RNA". It matches the Rfam family "Bacterial small subunit ribosomal RNA", at positions 28 to 507 of the family's 1533-position model. The record is from RNAcentral.
GACGAACGCUGGCGGCGUGCUUAACACAUGCAAGUCGAACGGAAAGGCCUGCUUUCCCUUGUGGAUUGCGGGUACUCGAGUGGCGAACGGGUGAGUAACACGUGAGUGAUCUGCCCCCAACUUGGGUAUAAGCCUGGGAAACUGGGUCUAAUUCCCGAUAGGACUGCAGGGUGGUGCCUGUGGUGGAAAACGAUUUUCUAGUGGUUGGGGAUGAGCUCGCGGCCUAUCAGCUUGUUGGUGGGGUAAUGGCCUACCAAGGCGGCGACGGGUAGCCGGCCUGAGAGGGUGGACGGGCAAAUUGGGACUGAGAUACGGCCCAGACUCCUACGGGAGGCAGCAGUGGGGAAUAUUGCACAAUGGGCGGAAGCCUGAUGCAGCGACGCCGCGGGGGGGAUGACGGCCUUCGGGUUGUAAACUCCUUUCGACCGCGAGGAAGCCACCUGGUUGGAAGGGUGGUGACGGUAGUGGUAGAAGAAGCACCGGCUAACUACGUG